Molecule: non-coding RNA, 288 nt
Organism: Pelobates cultripes (western spadefoot toad)
Lineage: Eukaryota; Metazoa; Chordata; Amphibia; Anura; Pelobatidae
Source: the annotation of a GenBank genome assembly
AGAGCUUAUAAUAAUGAAAAAUAACAAUAGUUGCAUAUCAAUGCUCUGAACAAAAUGCUGAGGAACACGUUGGUAAUUUAUAAAAUAAUAACCUUAUGUUGAUACCUAAACUGUGAGAGCAGUGUCUGGAGGAAUGAAUCAUAAAAUAAUUAUCUUGUAUCUAAAAAGCUUUGGAAGAAAGGAAUGCUGAAGGCUGCCCUUCCCCCUAGUCUGGAGCCCACUCUGCCUAGUGACCCCAGAACGCCCUCACUAUUACUCAUCCUAACUCUCACCCAGGACCCAUUACCU